GCUGAUAUGGCUCAGUACGCAUCUCACACCCCCGGUAAGCGUGCGCUCCCCAGUUCGACUCUGGGUAUCAGCACCA
This 76-nucleotide transfer RNA is filed under the name Escherichia coli. RNAcentral's name for it is "tRNA-OTHER". The record is from RNAcentral. Lineage: Bacteria; Pseudomonadati; Pseudomonadota; Gammaproteobacteria; Enterobacterales; Enterobacteriaceae.